RNAcentral lists this long non-coding RNA (282 nucleotides) under Homo sapiens (human). RNAcentral's name for it is "non-protein coding lnc-PXDC1-13:1". Lineage: Eukaryota; Metazoa; Chordata; Mammalia; Primates; Hominidae. The record is from RNAcentral.
GUAUUCAUCAUCUAAGCCAUGGAGAUUGACUGGAACUUAUUAUAAAGCUUAUAGCUUUACCUGGCUUAAGGUCUUCUCCCUCAAGGACAAACUGUGGAGAGGUUAGCCCUGAUCUGAUAAUUGGGAAGGUCUCUUUAUUUAAUGAUUCCAUUUUAUUCUAUUAAUGGUCUGAGUAUUAUAAUGGUCUGAUUCCAUUUUAUUAAUUACUCUUCUGUUUGCUCACUUAAAAAUAAUAAAAAAAUAUUAAAAAUAAUCUGCCAAUAUCUCUUGAAGUCCUCAAUC